CAUGGCUGGCCUGACCUACAUGUCUUACCAGGUAUGGAAGGACCCGUGAUAUGCAUCCAUAUGAUCUUUUUUUUUUCAUGAAGUUGGGACUACUCGCCAAAUACCUCGCUAUAACAACCGAUCAACUACUUCUUCAAGUGUAGGGGAUGAAACUAAAGCGAGGUUUUGGGUUGAUAAUUGGAUUGAAGGCGGUCCUCUUUGGUAGAGGUUCCCAGAUUUAUUUAGGCUUACCCAAUACAACUCUGCCUGGAUCAGUGACAACCGAGUAUUUAUGGACAGAGGGAGUAUAGUUUGAAGGUAAGUACACGUAUAUGCAUAAUUGAUACUAAAUGAACUUGCUUAAUAUCUGUCUUUCUUUUUAUAAUAAAUUUAUAGAGA
This is a long non-coding RNA of Helianthus annuus (common sunflower), 378 nucleotides long. RefSeq lists it as uncharacterized. The transcript is spliced from 3 exons. NCBI's taxonomy places the organism in Eukaryota, Viridiplantae, Streptophyta, Magnoliopsida, Asterales, Asteraceae. The record is from RefSeq and is a predicted model, not a curated record.